Sapajus apella (tufted capuchin) is the source of this 2817-nucleotide long non-coding RNA. RefSeq lists it as uncharacterized. NCBI's taxonomy places the organism in Eukaryota, Metazoa, Chordata, Mammalia, Primates, Cebidae. The transcript is spliced from 2 exons. The record is from RefSeq and is a predicted model, not a curated record.
AAAGAAUAGAAAUGUCUAUUGAAGCUCUUUACCUAUUUCUGAAUUUUUGUUAAGUUGUAAAAGUAUGUAUUCUGGAUACUAAGGUGCUUUAUAAGAUACACGAUUUGCAAAUAUUUUCUCCCAUUCUGUGGGUUGUCUUUUUACCCUCUUGAUAAUGUCCUUUGAUGUACUGUAGUUUUGAUUUUGGUUAAGAGGGCAUCCUGCAAAGUAGCAGAGUAGGAAUCUCUACAGGUUAAUUCUUACAUUGAAACAACCAGUAAACUGGAAAAAAUGACCAGAAUCAACUUUCAGAUUGUGGAGUCAGGGGAGUGCUUGAUGAUGGGAGAGGCUACUGCUCUGGGGAAAGUCCCAAAUGGACUGUACUAACCAUCAACAAGCAAAAAUAAGCCACCUCUUGGAAGCUGGAAAAUUACUGAAUUUAUCCUACUUGGAGCUUAUUGAGCAUCUGACAUGUAUGGAUUCAUGUUCUUCAUCAAAUUUGGAAACUUUUCAGUAUUAAUUAUUCCACUUUUUUUUUUGGGCCUCUUCCUCUUACAGGACGUGUUCGAUGGUGUUCCACAGGUGCCUUAGGUUCUGUUCAUUUUUUCUUUAUUUUUUCAUUUUAAUCUUCAGACUGGAUAAUUUCAAUUGUUUUAUCUUCAUGUUUGCUGAUUCUUCUGCCUGAUCAAAUCUACCUUUGCACUGCUGUAUGAUUUUUUUCGUUUUAGCUCUUGGGCUUUUCAGCUGCAGAAUUUCUUUUUGAUUCCUUUCUAUAAUGUAUGUCUCUUUACUGACAUUCCCUGUUUGUUCAUACCCUCUUCUGAUGUCCUUUAACUCUUUGUGCAUAGUUUCUUUUAUUUCAUUGAGCCUAUUUGAGACAGUUGACUUAACAUCCUUGACUAGUAGUUUGAUUGUCUGGGCUGUCCCAGGGAUAGUUUGCUGUCAAAUUAUUUUUUUUCUGUCAGCCAGCCAUUCAAUUUGAGUAUUACACUGUGGUGGUAACUCAAAAACAUAUUGUCCUUUUACUCAGGGAUUUAUUUUGUUGUUUAUUGAGAUCUAAAGUUGUCUAUUUGUAUAGUGACUUUUCCAAAUGAUUUUUGUGAAGUCUGUGUUCCUUAUUAUGUGGAUUAUUGAAGUUUCUGUCUGAUUAACUCUGUAUCUGCUUUCAGCCUCUCAGAUAUUUUUAAAUGUCUAGAUUCUUAAAAACUGGUGUGUAUUCCUUUUAAAUGUUCUGAUAGAUGUCACCAGAGAAGCUAUCAUAAGCCUAAGGGAAUCAGAUAUAGCCAACCAUCUCUGCUGAUCCUCAGGGAACUGCCAUACCAAUUAAAUCACACCCCAGAAUUUUAGAGCACAAAGUCCAUACUGUUCACUGUAGCAACAGUGAGCCACUCUAGGAAUGCUGUCCCUGUGUUGCAGCAGGACUGUGGAAGGAGUCAUGGUAGCUGGUUCAAACACACGACUCUCUUACCAAAGAUAGAUAGUCACCUUGAUAAUACCAAUAAUUAUAUCACAGCUGUCUAAAAUAUGUAUUAUUUCUCAAUAGUCUAAUACAAGUCCAUCUUCCAUUUUUUUCCCUUUUCCCAAAAAUGCCCUUUAUGUCUGUUUAUUAUUGUUAUUAUUUUUUAAAUAGGGACAGGGUCUCCCUAUGUUGCCCAGGCUGGUCAUGAACACCUGGCCUCAAGUGACCCUCCCGUUUUGGCCUCCCAAAAUAUUAGGAUUACAGGCAUGAGCCACCAUACCUGGCCAUGUUUCUCUUAAUCUGGAAUUACUUCUAUGAUUAAUAUGAGUGGUGGCUCAUACCUGUGAUCCUAGCACUUUGGGAGGUUGAGGCAGGAGGAUCACUUGAUGGCAAGAGUUGAAAACCAGCCUGGGCAACAUAGCAAGACCCCAUCUGUAUUUUAAAAAGGAAAAUAAAAUGAAACAACAACAAAAAGAAAGAUGUUAAACCUUACAAUACGGAGUAUGUCAGCUAAAACUAUACCAAUAUAGCUAUUUUUCAUCUAUCAGGCAAGAGUCCAAAUGUUUGUUAAAAUACUCUAUUUGAGACUUUGAGAAACUGGAUAUUGUUACACAUUUCCAACGAGAGUGCAUUUGGUGGUUUCUAACAAAACUGCAGAUCCUUUUAUCCUUUGACCCACAAACCCACUUCUAAGAAUCUAUUUUAAGGGUACAUCUGCCACUAGUAAAGUGAUAUGUAGACAGAGUUAUUCAUUGAGUCAUCACUGUAAUAGCAAAAGAUGGGAAAUAAGUUGUAAAAAAGGACUGGUUGAGGUACAUAGAAUGUGGGGAAAAAAAGAAGGCAGGUAGAUCUUUAUUCACUGAUAAGGAGUGGUCACCGGGAUGUAUUGUUAAGUGGAAAACAAAAACAAAAACAAGCUGCAGUACAGUGUUUUUUUGCAAAAAGAACUUCUAGGAAAAGAAAAAGAAAAAAAUACUGGAUAGACACCAGAAAACACGGCUUAAUAAGAAUGAUUAUUUAUAGGGCAGGUCAAGUAGGGCAAAUGGAAUUGAGUGAUAUAGAUGGAAGAGAGGGUCGGGGGCUAGGGAGGGAUAGCAUUAGGAGAAAUAACUAAUGUAGAUGACGGGUUGAUGGGUUAAGCAAACCACCAUGGUACAUAUAUACUUAUGCAACAAACCUGCAUGUUCUGCACAUGUAUCUCAGAACUUAAAAGUAUAAUAAUGAAAUUAAAAAUAAAAUUAAUAGUAGUGUCCUGUGAGAAAUCCAAUUGUUAUAAUUUAUAUUAUUUGAUAAAUACAAUGAAAGUAUCAUAAAAAGACUCACACUCUUUUGACUAUAAAGAAAAAAGAUGGAAGAGAGAUUUGCUAUACUUUUUUUUU